GAGUGUCAGGUAAGUAAAUACAAUCACUUGGGGGUGCCUUACUUUUAGCACCCCAAGUAUAAAAUGUGUUUCCUUCUCCUUUAAAAUAGGUUUCCGGAUAACAGAUCCCAUACCUGUACUUUCAACACAAGUCUGCAGUGUAUUUUUGCUAGCUAAUGUAAUAAAGGUUACAACAUUUGCAUCAAGUCUUUCCAUAGCAACCAGUCAGGUGUUUGUAGGGCCCUGAGAUUUCUGUGGUAGCUCCAGUGUGGACAAAUAUCUUUAGGAUCAUCAAGACAAGACAUUGUUCAAGCACAACUGCAAAGUCUUCUAAUGUUCUAUUAGUUAAAAAAUGCAAAGGCAGACUACAGCAACACGGUAGGCAGCAGGCAAAGACAGUUAGUCAGUAGUUAGUUCAGUAUACAGAUAUACUGUUUAAAAGAAGUUAUAAAAACCUUAAACAGUUAUGGGAUCCAUUAUCCAGGAACUCGGGAUCCAGAAAGCUCUGAGUUAAGGAAAGAAUGAUUUCCUUUAUCUCUGAAAUAAUAAAAAAGAACCUUGUACUUGAUCCAAAGGGCCCUCCUAGCAGUCACAGGGGACCCCUUCCGAUGCACAGCAUCACGCCGCAUCACAUCUCUUUUUUCAAGGGGGGGGGCACUCGAUUGGGUGGAUCAGGCCAGGGCCCACUAGGUUUUUUCCCCCGUGUCUUGUAGGCCCAGUCCGAUCCUACCUUACUGGAAGCAAAACCAGCUUAUUCGGUUUAUUUAAAGUUUACAUGAUUUUCUAGUAGACUUACUACUAUGGGGUUCCAUAUUAUGGAAAGAUCUGUAAAAAAGAAAACCCCAGGUCUUCUGAACAAUAGGUCCCUUACCUGUAAGAUACCAAAGAUUCUGGUUAAAAAAGUCUUCUAGAGAUAUUUCAUUAUCUGAGAUAACACCCUAAACAUUUGUCAGCCGUCAGCAGAACAGGAAAGGAAGUAUUCAGAUCACAUUUCCACUUGCUGGAAAUGAAUUCUUACAUAGACCAUGAUAAUGUGUCAAUGCACUCUGUCAGGAGGCAUUCAGAUUCAUUCAUGAUUGUACUAGCCUUCCCUGUAGUAUAGUCAUGUGAUUGUUCUGUUAACAAAAGUCCUUCAUCCCUAUAUUUUUAAAGAACUUCUUGAAAAAUACAGGAGUUAAACAAGUCAUCCAAAACUUCAAGGGCGUAACUACAGAUGAACUGCAGAAAGUAUAGGGGCCCGACAAGGCCAUAAAUAAUGAACCAUUUCAACAUAUAUUGGUAAAAAAGAACCUCUAGUUAUGUUGGUGGCCAUAAAAUUCUUUUGCUGUGGGGCCCAGUAACAUGUAGUUACACCACUGCAAAGUUUGUAUGUAUAAGAGAUGGCUUGUUGGUCUUGGAAAACAGCAGAAUAGAGCCCUUGAACAUUUCAGCAUAAAGGUGUUAUCGUGGAAAAAAAUGCAUGGAAUUUAUAGAGCAGCACGAUUAAUGAUUUGUCGGAGAGAUAUUGAAUGCAAUAGAAGAUAUAGUAAAUGUUCCUGGCAGUGACUAAUGUAUAGAGCAGAUAAACUGUCAGAAUAGGAGGGUCCAAUCCUGAAGGUGCCUUAACCAGAGGUGUAUAGCCCCAUGGUUUAGAGUAAUUUGUUAAAUACGCGAUUUCUUGUACUAAAAUGUUUGAUCUAGGCAAUUGAAAAAUAAAAACAUAAGUAAAUUGGCCCCUCAAUGCAGUGCAGCUAGCCCUGGUGCUAAAUACUACAUUGCUGAUACACUUUGCUGGGCCAGGUGGGGUUCUAAUUUUGUCAAUGCUGACAUAGAGUACCUUCAGUUUCAUUGUUUGCCCUGUUUAGCUCAAAAAACUGAUGUUUUCAUGAUUUAUGUAUAUUAACAUGCAAAAAGUUUGUUCAACAUAAGCCGUAUAGACUGAAUAUGUUAAACAAGGGGGUAUACUGCAUCUUUAAUUACUUACAUUUCAUUUAAUUCUGUGACUUUUAGCUCUGAUUAUGUUCAAGUCCUCUUACUGAAGAACACAUGCGCUUCACAAUGGGGUAAUAUUUCCAUAAGGUGGCUUCUAGAUAUGUUUUAGGUUAACUUCAUGCAGUUUAUUUAGCUAUACAGGGAUCAGAUUGCAGUUUGGUGCUCUGUUCACACAUACGUUUUCUCUUAUGUAAUAAAACCCAAAUGCUAUUUUA
Molecule: long non-coding RNA, 2165 nt
Organism: Xenopus laevis (African clawed frog)
Lineage: Eukaryota; Metazoa; Chordata; Amphibia; Anura; Pipidae
Exons: 2
Source: RefSeq, a predicted model, not a curated record